RNAcentral lists this ribosomal RNA (116 nucleotides) under Lepisosteus oculatus (spotted gar). Lineage: Eukaryota; Metazoa; Chordata; Actinopteri; Semionotiformes; Lepisosteidae. The record is from RNAcentral.
AGUAGCAUCUAUAUCACUCUGCAACUCACAACUGGCAACCCACUGAAGCUAAGCAGGUGUGAGCCUGGUCAGUACCUGGACGGGAGACCUCCUGGGAAAAACUAAGGGUGCUGCUG